UACGUAGGUGGCAAGCGUUGUCCGGAUUUACUGGGCGGAAAGAGCGCGCAGGCGGUCGUUCAAGUCGCGUGUGAAAGCCCCCGGCUCAACUGGGGAGGGUCACGCGAUACUGAUCGACUGGAAGGCAGGAGAGGGUAGUGGAAUUCCCGGUGUAGUGGUGAAAUGCGUAGAUAUCCGGAGGAACACCGGUGGCGAAGGCGGCUUCCUGGACCGAUACUGACGCUGAGGCGCGAAAGCUAGGGGAGCAAACGGG
This 253-nucleotide ribosomal RNA is filed under the name uncultured bacterium. Its description in RNAcentral is "partial 16S ribosomal RNA". It matches the Rfam family "Bacterial small subunit ribosomal RNA", at positions 524 to 776 of the family's 1533-position model. The record is from RNAcentral.